GAAUUUUUGCCUUGCAAUCUUGACCAUUGUUGCUUCAAGUGACAAUUAUCCUUGAGCAACUAUCGGGUUUCUGUGUUGCAUACCAUUUGAAGGAAUAAGAUCCAAAAGAUUCGAAAUUUCAUCUUUUAUUACUCUGUGAUAUUAAGAUGAACCUCGAGGUACCUUCUGUGCUCCCACGCAUGCUUCUAAUCUUUUGUCGCGUGUGUGGUGCAUGGUUUGGCUACUCGUGCUCUGGGAUGUGGAACAUUGUGUUGCUAAGCGAUCUUUUGAUUGCUUUGGCCAAAAAAAUAGUCCAUUGUUGGAACGACUAUCAUGAUUGUCUCGACGGUCUUUGAUGUCGUGAAGGAAUGCUACCUGGUUGAUCCUGCCAGUAGUCAUAUGCUUGUCUCAAAGAUUAAGCCA
This 402-nucleotide unclassified non-coding RNA is filed under the name Myrsine oliveri. Its description in RNAcentral is "partial external transcribed spacer". The stretch from base 352 to 402 matches the Rfam family "Eukaryotic small subunit ribosomal RNA", at positions 1 to 51 of the family's 1831-position model. Lineage: Eukaryota; Viridiplantae; Streptophyta; Magnoliopsida; Ericales; Primulaceae. The record is from RNAcentral. RNAcentral also lists the same sequence under 1 other name.